AUUGUUUUUUAAGUCAAGUGAGCGAAGCACGCUUGAGCGUGGGCUGGGUUUACUGGUUGGCGCGGGAGGGUUAAAAUCUUGGCCAUGGCCUUGAAUUCGCGGAGCCGCCGCCGAGCUUUGUAAAGGACAAAAUGGCGACGGCGGGCCGUGGCGGCGGCCCUCUCUGUGAUGAGAACCUUUUCACAGACCUGUACUGAGCUCCGUGAGGAUAAGACUCUCUGAAGAGACGGGCCUUGCCCAGCCCAAGCCCAGCACAGUCGCAGCUCCGGAAGACAAAGCGAACGUGAAGUCACGGGUGUGGAUUUAAUGUCCCUUUGUCUGCAGGGUUCGGGCGCACCUUUGAACGCUGCAGAAUGGAGAAGAGCCGACUUGCGUGGAUGCGGUUCGGCUCUAAAGACCUUAGAGGUUUGAGGGCGAGACAAGACCUGUCCCCUGAUCCCUGCGAACUAGGCCUCACUGUGAUGCUCCAGGUGGGUAUGAGGCGAUUUCUGCAGGUGCGGGUGGGCAUGGGGUCUGGUGGGGUUUGCUCUCGUCCAAAUUGUGCUGACCACUCAAUGAUGAACAUAAAAAAGACAAGCAUAUGGCUGAACUUAAAGUGAUGUCAUCUUCCUGCUGAGAAGUGGGCCGGGAGUACUCCAGGGUCUGUGAGCGACUCUUCUUGGGUACAUCAUGCCUUUCUUUUCUGCUCUAGCAUCUCAUCACUAGGCUUGAGGAACCCAACGGUCUGCCUGGGUGAAUACAGGUAAUUAAACUGUUGAAAUGGGGGAUUGGAGUGUCCUCUCUGGUUAUGCCUACAACCAGGAGAGCAAAUGGGCAAUGGAGCCAUGUUGCCUUUUUGCUCCUUCCAGCUUGUUCUUCUUGGAAUGAUUUUGCCGUGGAGGGAGAGCAGCCCAACAGUAGAGUUCUUGGGAGGGUGUGCUCUCCCUCACCCAUGUCACUGUCAGAUGAUUUGAAUAGAUCUGCUGAUCCUCUGUGAGGUGCGACAAUUAAUAGCAUGUUAGAGUUCUGAUGGCAGUUUUUGUUAACGAAGAAACUUUAUUCCACUUUGUAUUUUUAGGUAACCGUUUGUUCCCCUUUUGCAGGUUGUCCUGAAGGUGAUACAUUUAUCUGUGAUACGACUCCAUUCCCAGCGUGAGGAUCAAACUCAUGACCUCGAGCCCAGAGGUCACAUGUUGCACGGACUGAGCCAGCCAGGGGUCCCUUGAUCUAUUUCCUCUAGAUGUUCAAGAUUCUGCCCAUCGUUGAACUCCUGGCAAGUGUUAAGGAUGAAGCAGCUUGUUCCUGUGUGUUACCCCAAAGCCUCCAGAGUUAACAGGUGCUGCUACCCAUAACCUGCUUGCUAGUUCAAAGGUCCAGUACCUUUUGUGGAGCCCAAGAGUGACUUGAGGAACCCUGAGCCAUUUUUCUCCUGGGCUCCAGUGGAAGUCAGAGGUGAGUAAAUCUAGGUGCAGGGUGGCCCAAACUAGAACUUCCCAGUGAAGAAACAGUCACAUGUCCUACCUCCUGUCCUAGUCCCAGAGCCUGUAAAGGUGAACCCACUGGGGCUGGCUGGGGGAAAAGAGGAAACUUGUUCCAGAAGGAACUGUCUGAGGGAUCAUAAGUGGUUUCUAAAUAUGGGACCAUGAGUGAUAACUCUUGUUGAAGUUGAAUAUAUUUGUUUUCCAGGUCUGAAGAAAGAACAAGGCCUGUAUCCUAGGAAUCCAGUUCUUCAGGGAUGUCAAAAGGAAGUUUUCAGGUCAUUUUUUGUACAACCUAGUAGAAGUGAGCAUACAGUUGUUUAAACCUUUCUAAAUAAAAGUUUAACAUUUAUUGUU
This is a long non-coding RNA of Mustela erminea (ermine), 1814 nucleotides long. RefSeq lists it as uncharacterized. Lineage: Eukaryota; Metazoa; Chordata; Mammalia; Carnivora; Mustelidae. The transcript has 8 exons. The record is from RefSeq and is a predicted model, not a curated record.